RNAcentral lists this transfer RNA (61 nucleotides) under Symplanella nigricans. Its description in RNAcentral is "tRNA-Cys". Lineage: Eukaryota; Metazoa; Arthropoda; Insecta; Hemiptera; Caliscelidae. The record is from RNAcentral.
GGUCUUAAAGUUAACUUAAAUUGCAAAUUUAAGGUGGUUUAAAAUAUAUAAGCUAAGGCUU